UACGUAGGGGGCAAGCGUUGUUCGGAAUUACUGGGCGUAAAGCGCACGUAGGCGGAUAUUUAAGUCAGGGGUGAAAUCCCAGAGCUCAACUCUGGAACUGCCUUUGAUACUGGGUAUCUUGAGUAUGGAAGAGGUAAGUGGAAUUGCGAGUGUAGAGGUGAAAUUCGUAGAUAUUCGCAGGAACACCAGUGGCGAAGGCGGCUUACUGGUCCAUAACUGACGCUGAGGUGCGAAAGCGUGGGGAGCAAACAGG
RNAcentral lists this ribosomal RNA (253 nucleotides) under uncultured bacterium. Its description in RNAcentral is "partial 16S ribosomal RNA". It matches the Rfam family "Bacterial small subunit ribosomal RNA", at positions 524 to 776 of the family's 1533-position model. The record is from RNAcentral.